AAACCAUGAUUUGAGCAUUUGUGAGGUAAUCCUUUAUAACAAUCCCAUCGUUCAUACAUUGAUUCCUCAUCAGCUGGACGAAAAGAAGUGAUGUCGUUCCUCAGUUU
Molecule: small nucleolar RNA, 107 nt
Organism: Hibiscus syriacus
Lineage: Eukaryota; Viridiplantae; Streptophyta; Magnoliopsida; Malvales; Malvaceae
Source: RefSeq, a predicted model, not a curated record